AAGGAUCAUUACUGAAGACAAUAGGGUUUUGAGACUGCGUUUACGCGUGCUCGACUCUUACUCUUUAUCCACACACACCUUUGUGCACCAUGGGGGACGAAAGUGCCCUCCUUUCACAUAAACACCAAGUAUAUGCAUGUCUUAUCAUACUCUACGGAGUAAAUGUACAACUUUCAACAACGGAUCUCUUGGCUUUC
Molecule: unclassified non-coding RNA, 197 nt
Filed under: uncultured fungus
Lineage: Eukaryota; Fungi
Description: partial contains 18S rRNA, ITS1, 5.8S rRNA, ITS2 and 28S rRNA
Source: RNAcentral